Molecule: unclassified non-coding RNA, 210 nt
Filed under: Hevea brasiliensis (rubber tree)
Lineage: Eukaryota; Viridiplantae; Streptophyta; Magnoliopsida; Malpighiales; Euphorbiaceae
Source: RNAcentral
AAAUAUGUCACUCUAACCACCUCUUCAUUGUAAUUUCCAGAGACAGCAUUGAAGCUUGAUACUUUGGUUGGUGACAUUGAAGAUGCUGUCUCGUCCACGGUGAAGAGAACUUUAAGGAGAGAACCAUCAACAAAAAGUUCAGAAGAGAUGCGGAGUGUUGCCAUUAGAACACUGAAGUUAACUGAAGAGACACUAAGAUUAGUAGCAAAA